Molecule: ribosomal RNA, 491 nt
Filed under: uncultured bacterium
Lineage: Bacteria
Description: partial 16S ribosomal RNA
Rfam family: Bacterial small subunit ribosomal RNA
Source: RNAcentral
GAUGAACGCUGGCUGCAUGCUUAACACAUGCAAGUCGAGGGGACACUACGGGGUAGCUUGCUUCCCCGGGAGUCGACCGGCGCACGGGUGAUUUACGCUUAGCCAACCUGCCUCUGACUGAGGGAUAACCCGUCGAAAGUCGGCCUAAUACCUCAUGUCAUCGUCUGCGGGCAUCCAACGACGAUUAAAGAUUUCAUCGGUCAGGGAUGGGGAUGCGUCUGAUUAGCGUGUUGGCGGGGUAACGGCCCACCAACGCUACGAUCAGUAGGGGGUCGGAGAGGAAGGCCCCGCAGAGUGGAACUGAGGCAAGGUCGAAACUGCUACGGGAGGCAGCAGUCUGGAAGAGGGGUCAGUGGGCGGGAGCCUGAAACAGCCAAGUGGCGGGCAGGACGACGGCGCUAGGGGUUGUAAGCUGCUUGUAUGGGGGGAUAAAGUGAGGGACGAGGCCUUCAUUGACGGUACCGAAUGAAUAAGGACCGGCUAACUCCGUG